Molecule: long non-coding RNA, 1720 nt
Organism: Vitis vinifera (wine grape)
Lineage: Eukaryota; Viridiplantae; Streptophyta; Magnoliopsida; Vitales; Vitaceae
Exons: 2
Source: RefSeq, a predicted model, not a curated record
UCUUAUCAUUCAACCAACCAAAACUGCUCUUUCCACUCACAUUUACACCUCUGAAUACCAAUUUAUUGUGUGUAAUGUCAUCAUAUAUGCCAUCCACAUCACAUAAGACAAAAAUGAAAGUGAAUAUCAAAGUAGCAAAAGUAUGCCUGGAACAAGUAAAAUUGAGACUCCUCUCUAUUUAUAUCCUCUCAUUCACUCUUAUCUAUGAACCCUUCCCUUGAAGAAGAAGAAAGAAGAAGAAGCCCAAGAAUUGAGGGGGCCUCUGUGCUACAACACGAGGAGGCUAUAUGUGUAUGAUCCAUCUUAUCAUGCACCAAUAGCAGUUGAAGCUGCCAGCAUGAUCUAAGCUUUUCUGUUGCCCACCCUUUCUCCAGGAAAGACUAGAUCAUGUGGCAGUUUCACCUGUUGAUGGAAGCAUGAGAAACCCUAAUAGACUCAAAUCCUGUUCCGAUCUUCUGAUCCGCUUUCAGCAACCCCAUUAGGGUUUUUCCUUAGGAAAACCUGAGAAAGGGUAUGCAGAAAAGGGUUUGGAGAACCAAGCCAUAUUUUCUCAAUAGAGAAGCAAAGGAUGAACAAUUAUCAUCUGAAAAAUAGUUUGUUGACAGUCGUGUUCCGCGAAAGGGCAAUAGAGACACUUUAGCAUUCUAGAAAGUAGCUUAUAAAUGCAGGCAUUUGGCUACCCUUUUUUUGUGUAUGUAUGGUGUUAUCUCAAUAUAGAACGGAAAUGGUCCAACAUUCACAGCCAUUGAACAUUAUCUUUGAGCACCUACUUGUAUAUUUUCAAGGACAUUAGUCAUGGUAGGAUUGUAUUUUUCAAGGUCAUAGUAGAUGGAAAAAGUCUUUUUUUUCUUUCUCUUUGUGCUUGUUUCUUGAGUUUGAUUCUUAGACAACACUGAACUUGUAAUGACUUUCCAUCUCCUAUGCUCUAACGUCUUAGCAUGGUCAACUUUGUCCGCCGUAGAUGUAAUGUCACUGCCUAAUCUUUAAGACCUUUGUUUCAGGACUCUCUCUCUCUCUCUCUCUCUCUUUCUCUCUCUGUAUGUAUGUUAGAUGAGGUUUAUGAACUUGGACUGCAUUGAAUAACAAGUUUGAUUUUUCUGUUUAGCUUGGCUUGGUGGAGUUUGUUACCCUCUUUUGUUGGGAAGCUUCAUUUGGCUACACUCCACACAAUCUUUCUAAAUUCUUAGAUAGCCCAUGUAGCCAAAAACGUCAUUUAUUUGGUUCGCACAUCUCUUCUAGGGUUUUUAUACCUUAAUUAUACAUGAAGAACACCACAUGGUUGGGGUGUUCCUUCCAGGGAUUUGUUACAUUCCAUUAAUGAGACUCUUCCCAUGAGCCCUAGCUAGGUCCUCCUCUUCAACUUGGCAUUAUAUUGAGUCACGUGGGCACUUCCCCAUGGGGACUCAAAGAGCAAGCCAUAGGCUGUAAUGCAGAAAGAGCCCAUGAAAAAGGAAAAAGUAGUAUAGUACUCUUUGUUUUUAUGUAUACAUCUAUGCUUAUGUCAUAUUCCUCAGGACAAGGAUGUUGCUAAAGACAUUGUUUUCCUCUCAUUCAAGAUAGGUGAUCGGACAUUUUCAUUGACUGGAAGCAAUCAGAACAGCUAGGACAACAAUCUUUUUCUGUUUGUAAUAUUUUUUGUAUAUAAAUUUUUUCAUAGGUGUAACUGUGUAAGGUAAAAUUGCUGAAAUACCCAUCAAUGAAAUGAUUUGAAUAACUCAAA